UGGGGAAUAUUGCACAAUGGGGGAAACCCUGAUGCAGCAACGCCGCGUGCGGGAUGACGGCCUUCGGGUUGUAAACCGCUUUCAGCCAUGACGAAGCUUUUGUGACGGUAGUGGCAGAAGAAGCACCGGCUAACUACGUGCCAGCAGCCGCGGUGAUACGUAGGGUGCGAGCGUUGUCCGGAAUUAUUGGGCGUAAAGAGCUUGUAGGCGGUUUGUCGCGUCGAAAGUGUAAACUCAGUACUUAACGCUGAGCCUGCUUUCGAUACGGGCUGACUAGAGGAAGGUAGGGGAGAAUGGAAUUCCCGGUGGAGCGGUGGAAUGCGCAGAUAUCGGGAGGAACACCAGUGGCGAAGGCGGUUCUCUGGACCUUUCCUGACGCUGAGAAGCGAAAGCGUGGGUAGCAAACAGG
Molecule: ribosomal RNA, 409 nt
Filed under: bacterium
Lineage: Bacteria
Description: partial 16S ribosomal RNA
Rfam family: Bacterial small subunit ribosomal RNA
Source: RNAcentral